Molecule: ribosomal RNA, 499 nt
Filed under: uncultured bacterium
Lineage: Bacteria
Description: bacterial SSU rRNA
Rfam family: Bacterial small subunit ribosomal RNA
Source: RNAcentral
UGAUGAAGGCCUUUGGGUUGUAAAAUCCUGUUUUGGGGGAAGAAACCUUAAGGGUCCAAUAAACCCUUGAAUUGACGGUACCCCAAGAGAAAGCUCCGGCUAAUUAUGUGCCAGCAGCCGCGGUAAUACAUAAGGAGCAAGCGUUAUCCGGAAUUAUUGGGCGUAAAGAGCUCGUAGGCGGUCUUAAAAGUCAGGUGUGAAAUCAUCAGGCUCAACCUGAUAAGGUCAUCUGAAACUUUAAGACUUGAGGAUAGAAGAGGAAAGUGGAAUUCCCGGUGUAGCGGUGAAAUGCGUAGAUAUCGGGAGGAAUACCAGUGGCGAAGGCGGCUUUCUGGUCUAUUUCUGACGCUGAGGAGCGAAAGCUAGGGGAGCAAACGGGAUUAGAUACCCCGGUAGUCCUAGCUGUAAACGAUGGAUACUAGGUGUGGGAGGUAUCGACCCCUUCUGUGCCGCAGCUAACGCAUUAAGUAUCCCGCCUGGGGAGUACGGUCGCAAGGCU